RNAcentral lists this ribosomal RNA (328 nucleotides) under uncultured eukaryote. RNAcentral's name for it is "partial 18S ribosomal RNA". It matches the Rfam family "Eukaryotic small subunit ribosomal RNA", at positions 1470 to 1796 of the family's 1831-position model. The record is from RNAcentral.
CCCCUAGAUGUUCUGGGCCGCACGCGCGCUACACUGAACAGUUCAACAAGUCUUAACCUUGGCCGAUAGGUCUGGGUAAUCUUUGAACGCUGUUCGUGAUUGGGAUAGACCUUUGCAAUUAUGGGUCUUCAACGAGGAAUUCCUAGUAAACGCAAGUCAUCAGCUUGCAUUGAUUACGUCCCUGCCCUUUGUACACACCGCCCGUCGCUCCUACCGAUUGAAUGAUCCGAUGAAUACCAUGGAUUGAGAGUACGAAUAGGUUCGCUUAUUUCUGCUUCUCGAGAAGUGGAGUAAAUCUUAUCAUUUAGAGGAAGGAGAAGUCGUAACA